This 254-nucleotide ribosomal RNA is filed under the name uncultured bacterium. RNAcentral's name for it is "partial 16S ribosomal RNA". It matches the Rfam family "Bacterial small subunit ribosomal RNA", at positions 524 to 776 of the family's 1533-position model. The record is from RNAcentral.
UACAGAGGGGGCAAGCGUUUAUUCGGAAUUAUUGGGCGUAAAGGGCGCGUAGGCGGCCUGGCAAGUGGAAGGUGAAAUCCCUCGGCUUAACCGAGGAACUGCCCUCCAAACUGCUUGGCUUGAGUCCGGGAGAGGUGAGUGGAAUUCCCAGUGUAGCGGUGAAAUGCGUAGAUAUUGGGAGGAACACCAGUGGCGAAGGCGGCUCACUGGACCGGAACUGACGCUGAUGCGCGAAAGCGUGGGGAGCAAACGGG